This is a small nucleolar RNA of Ochotona curzoniae (black-lipped pika), 125 nucleotides long. RefSeq annotates it as small nucleolar RNA SNORA44. The transcript has a single exon. The record is from RefSeq and is a predicted model, not a curated record. NCBI's taxonomy places the organism in Eukaryota, Metazoa, Chordata, Mammalia, Lagomorpha, Ochotonidae.
CAGCAUGUCUGCAAGGGCUGUGGCUGGCUGCAGCCUCGGGAUCUCCAGCCACAGACAGCAACCUGCAGGCUCUGACAGCAGCGCAGGAAGGCACCGCACAGCUGCCACUCGGCCUUCCCGUGACC